CCCUUAGAUGUCCUGGGCCGCACGCGUGCUACACUGACGCAUACAGCGAGCACUUUCCAGUUCCGAGAGGCUACUGGUAAUCAUCAAUAUGCGUCGUGAUGGGGAUAGGUCUUUGGAAUUCUGGAUCUUGAACGAGGAAUGCCUAGUAAUCGCAGGUCAUUAGCCUGCGAUGAUUAAGUCCCUGCCCUUUGUACACACCGCCCGUCGCUACUACCGAUUUCGAGUGGUCAGGUGAAUCUUUCGGACUGUGGGCGCCCUUGAGGUGUUCGCGGAAAGUCAGGUAAAUCUUAUCACUUAGAGGAAGUAAAAGUCGUAACA
Molecule: ribosomal RNA, 318 nt
Filed under: uncultured eukaryote
Lineage: Eukaryota
Description: partial 18S ribosomal RNA
Rfam family: Eukaryotic small subunit ribosomal RNA
Source: RNAcentral